This 253-nucleotide ribosomal RNA is filed under the name uncultured bacterium. Its description in RNAcentral is "partial 16S ribosomal RNA". It matches the Rfam family "Bacterial small subunit ribosomal RNA", at positions 524 to 776 of the family's 1533-position model. The record is from RNAcentral.
UACGAAGGGGGCUAGCGUUGUUCGGAAUUACUGGGCGUAAAGCGCACGUAGGCGGGUUGUUAAGUCAGGGGUGAAAUCCUGGAGCUCAACUCCAGAACUGCCUUUGAUACUGGCAACCUAGAGACUGGAAGAGGUUAGUGGAAUUCCCAGUGUAGAGGUGAAAUUCGUAGAUAUUCGCAAGAACACCAGUGGCGAAGGCGGCUCACUGGCCCGGUACUGACGCUGAGGUGCGAAAGCGUGGGAAGCAAACAGG